NNGGNAGACGCAANNNCUAAUCUCAAAUCAAGUAAGAAGACCUGCUGAAUUGAAGCAUCUAACUAAGCAGAGGAAAAGAAAAUAACAAUGAUUCCCUUAGUAACGGCGAGUGAAGUGGGAGAAGCCCAAGCCAAAAUCACUGUAAAGUGAGUUGUAGUGUGAAGACUGGUGUGAAGGUGAAGAAGCAUCGAAUUUGAUUGGAAAGUCAAGUCAUAGAAGGUGAAAACCCUGUAAGAUGCNUNNCUUCANCNNNANAAUACCAGUUCGUGGAGUCGAGUUGUUUGGGAUUGCAACUCGAAGUUGGUGGUAAACAUCAUCAAAGGCUAAAUAGUGUCAAGAGACCGAUAGCGAACAAGUACCGUGAGGGAAAGAUGAAAAGAACUUUGAAAAAAGAGUGAAAUAGUACUUGAAAUCGUGGUUAGGUUAAGCGCAGAGGCUGAGUGGUAUUGUAGAACUUGUGUCCUUUACAGUUGUGAAGGGUUUAAGUUGUAUGAUAGGUGUAUGNGGUGUUUNNNUNCNCNAANCUANNGGGNGAGUGAGCACCCCACACACAAAAUCAACCUCUUCGUCCCGUCUUGAAACACGGACCAAGGAGUCUAUCAUGGAUGCGAGUACGUUGGUGCCAAACCAAAGUGCGUAAUGAAAGUAAAUCGUGUGAUCAUUGAAAGAUGCGCAACAUGUGCCGAUCUGGAUUCUGUGAAGAAAGAUUCGAGUAAUAGCAUUUAUGGUGGGACCCGAAAGAUGGUGAACUAUGCCUGAAUAGGACGAAGCCAGGGGAAACUCUGGUGGAGGUUCGAGUGGAUUCUAACGUGCAAAUUGAUCUUUAAAUUUGGGUAUAGGGGCGAAAGACUAAUCGAACCAUCUAGUAGCUGGUUCCUUCCGAAAUUUCCCUCAGGAUAGCUGCAACUUAUGAAAUAGUUUUAUGAGGUAAAGCGAAUGAUUAGAGGCUUCGGGAAUGUACUAUUCUUGACCUAUUCUCAAACUUUAAAUGGGUAAGAAGCAGUUGAUGUUUAGUUAAUCAGCUGUGAUGAAUAUGAGUUGCAAGUGGGCCAUUCCGGGUAAGCUGGACUGGCGAUGCGGGAUCAACCGAACGCUAUGGUACGGCGCCUGAUUAUUCGCUCAGUAGGACGUAAAAGGUGUUAGUUCAUCUAGACAGCAGGACGGUGGCCAUGGAAGUCGGAAUCCGCUAAGGAGUGUGUAACAACUCACCUGCCGAAUGAAGUAGCCCUGAAAAUGGAUGGCGCUCAAGCGAAUAGCCUAACCAUAGCCAUUCGAUUUAGUUUUAUAGUCGAAUGAGUAGGAAGGCGUGAUGGAGGUAGAGAAGACUAGCGUGUGAACGCAGUUGGAACGUCCAUUAGUGCAGAUCUUGGUGGAAGUAGCAAAUAUUCAAAUGAGAUCUUUGAAGACUGAAGUGGAGAAAGGUUCCAUAGGAAUCGUGAUGAUCUAUGGGUUAGUCGAUCCUAAGAGAUAGGUGAAAUCCAUUGAAAGGAUGACGUUCGUCAUCGUCUAUCGAAAGGGAAUCAGGUUAAUAUUCCUGAACCAAUAGAAGUGUGUCGGUAACGGUAUUGGGAUUGAAGACAUUGAUGGUACUCCUGGGAAGAGUUGUCUUUUCUUGUUAACAAAUGGCAGUCCUUGGAAUAAAUUCAGUUUGCGAGAAGGAUUGUGGUUUGGUAAAGGUUCCUGCUUGUUGGGAGCUCUGGUGCAGUAUCAGCAGUCCUUGAAAAUUCAAUCUCAGCGUAACUUCUAUUGUUCGUACUCAUAACCGCAUCAGGUCUCCAAGGUGAAUAGCCUCUAGUUCAUAGAAUAAUGUAGGUAAGGGAAGUCGGCAAAUUAGAUCCGUAACUUCGGGAAAAGGAUUGGCUCUGAGGGCUAAGCAGAAUGAGUAUUGGUUAGGAAACGGCUUGUGGUGCAUGGGUUUGUUGUGCUUUCGGGUGUGAUGAAUGUGUGUACUAUGAAAAGGGCCCUACUAGUAUUAACGCUGCAAUGAAUAGCUAACUCAGAACUGGUACGGACAAGGGGAAUCCGACUGUUUAAUUAAAACAAAGCAUUGUGAUGGUGUGAAAGAUAUGUUGACACAAUGUGAAUUCUGCCCAGUGCUCUGAAUGUCAAAGUGAAGGAAUUCAACCAAGCGCGGGUAAACGGCGGGAGUAACUAUGACUCUCUUAAGGUAGCCAAAUGCCUCGUCAUCUAAUUAGUGACGCGCAUGAAUGGAUUAAUGAGAUUCCCACUGUCCCUAUCUACUAUCUAGCGAAACCACAGCCAAGGGAACGGGCUUGGAAGUAUCAGCGGGGAAAGAAGACCCUGUUGAGCUUGACUCUAGUCUGACAUUGUGAAAUGACUUGAGAGGUGUAGCAUAGGUGGGAGAAGCAAUUCGAUCCUGAAAUACCACUACUCUUAAUGUUGUUUUACUUAUUCCAUGAGAUGGUAAUGAGUUGUAAGACUCAUUAAAGCCUUAAGCUNNNANGAGUGAACCACGUGAGAAGACUAGCGUGUGAACGCAGUUGGAACGUCCAUUAGUGCAGAUCUUGGUGGAAGUAGCAAAUAUUCAAAUGAGAUCUUUGAAGACUGAAGUGGAGAAAGGUUCCAUAGGAAUCGUGAUGAUCUAUGGGUUAGUCGAUCCUAAGAGAUAGGUGAAAUCCAUUGAAAGGAUGACGUUGGUCAUCGUCUAUCGAAAGGGAAUCAGGUUAAUAUUCCUGAACCAAUAGAAGUGUGUCGGUAACGGUAUUGAGAUUGAAGACAUUGAUGGUACUCCUGGGAAGAGUUGUCUUUUCUUGUUAACAAAUGGCAGUCCUUGGAAUAAAUUCAGUUUGCGAGAAGGAUUGUGGUUUGGUAAAGGUUCCUGCUUGUUGGGAGCUCUGGUGCAGUAUCAGCAGUCCUUG
Molecule: ribosomal RNA, 2879 nt
Rfam family: Eukaryotic large subunit ribosomal RNA